GAUCCUGGCUCAGAGCGAACGCUGGCGGCAUGCUUAACACAUGCAAGUCGCGCGGUCGGCUUCGGCCGGCAGCGGCGGACGGGUGAGUAGCGCGUAGGAACGUGUCCGGAGGUGGGGGACAACCCUGGGAAACCGGGGCUAAUACCGCAUGCGGCCCAUUGGCCAAAGCCGAAAGGCGCCUCCGGAGCGGCCUGCGUCCGAUUAGGUUGUUGGCGGGGUAACGGCCCACCAAGCCCGCGAUCGGUAGCUGGU
RNAcentral lists this ribosomal RNA (252 nucleotides) under uncultured bacterium. Its description in RNAcentral is "partial 16S ribosomal RNA". It matches the Rfam family "Bacterial small subunit ribosomal RNA", at positions 15 to 291 of the family's 1533-position model. The record is from RNAcentral.